CCUACGGGGUGCAGCAGUGGGGAAUAUUGGACAAUGGGCGAAAGCCUGAUCCAGCCAUGCCGCGUGUGUGAAGAAGGCCUUCGGGUUGUAAAGCACUUUCAGUGGGGAAGAAAGCCUUGGGGCUAAUACCCUCGAGGAAGGACAUCACCCACAGAAGAAGCACCGGCUAACUCCGUGCCAGCAGCCGCGGUAAUACGGAGGGUGCGAGCGUUAAUCGGAAUUACUGGGCGUAAAGCGCGCGUAGGCGGUCUGAUAAGCCGGUUGUGAAAGCCCCGGGCUCAACCUGGGAACGGCAUCCGGAACUGUCAGGCUAGAGUGCAGGAGAGGAAGGUAGAAUUCCCGGUGUAGCGGUGAAAUGCGUAGAGAUCGGGAGGAAUACCAGUGGCGAGGCGGCCUUCUGGACUGACACUGACGCUGAGGUGCGAAAGCGUGGGUAGCAAACAGGAUUAGAUACCCGAGUAGUC
RNAcentral lists this ribosomal RNA (464 nucleotides) under Vreelandella stevensii. Its description in RNAcentral is "partial 16S ribosomal RNA". It matches the Rfam family "Bacterial small subunit ribosomal RNA", at positions 338 to 795 of the family's 1533-position model. Lineage: Bacteria; Pseudomonadati; Pseudomonadota; Gammaproteobacteria; Oceanospirillales; Halomonadaceae. The record is from RNAcentral.